Daphnia magna is the source of this 2441-nucleotide long non-coding RNA. RefSeq lists it as uncharacterized. Lineage: Eukaryota; Metazoa; Arthropoda; Branchiopoda; Diplostraca; Daphniidae. The transcript is spliced from 3 exons. The record is from RefSeq and is a predicted model, not a curated record.
GGUGGGGAAAAAAAUGGGGACAGCUGGACCAACUUUUGCGCGCGCUGAAUUGAUUUCCCACCCUUCUUUUCCUCCCUUCGGAACAAAGAGAGGGCGCUUUUUUAGGUGGCCGACGGGUGCUGCCUCUAGCGGCCAGACAUAAUCUCUCGUGUCUGCUUCUCGCGUGUAUACUCACUAUCUCCCAGCUUGUUGAUCUUUUGUGAUUGCCAUUGUUUCUCUGAGGUUCUCGUCUACUUAUCUCUCUCGAAAACACAACAAAAAAUAGAAUUGUUCAUAUUUAGAAGAAAUCUUAGGUGAAAAACGAAAUGAAAAGAUAAGGAAAAAUAGCCGCAGAUGGGAACCGCGUGGGGGCACACAUGGCAGCUGCGUCCAACGAGACACGGUCGACACAUGGCGGUUCCAAUUGAAUUAUUUCACAUACGACAGCAGUUGCUUUCGUGAUGGUGCAGGAUCGCAACGGACAAAAAAAAAAAACACACACACACACAAAAGAGCAACAACAAAAAAUCGUCUUGAAUUAAAGAACGAUGGAGUAAAAAAAAAAAAACGAGAGUGGAGCGAACAAAAGAUGCAUUUUUUCCCACGAACAAAGAUGGCGUCAGCGUCUAUAAAUCAGCAGCGCGUCUUUUUUUUUUUUCUCUUCUUCUUUCUGAAUUUCUCGAUAGUUAAAAACGAUCUAACCUUUUUCUCUCUUCUAUACAUAAAGGAUCUUUUCCUAACCGACAUUUUCACUUUUAAAGAGCAUCUGCUGUUCAAUAUAAAGAACAACAACAAGCAAAACGAGUACUACUACUAUAUCGGAGAUAUCAAAAACCGAUAGGCUGAAAAACCCGUGUGGAUUUCACAGUGGGAAAAUAAAAAAAAUAAAAGAAUUUUCUUUUGUGUCUUUUCAGGUAGGCGCCCCGUAACGGAACUUUUUCCAGCAGCAGCAGCAGAAGGUCGACGGAAAGAUGAGAGAGCUGUGUGUGCCACAGGGCGAAAUCAACCAAAAAUAAGAUUUCCCCACCAAUUCGUGAUGAACGUCGACGAGCUUACGGUUGCUGACCUUUCACCUGGAAUUUACUCGCCAUUCGUCUUCCACGAGUUUUCUUGUUAUGCUCACAGGAGGACCAUCUGCUGCACACACAUCGCCACUUCCACAUAUUUGCUCAGUUGGUCAGACACAAAAACAUCUGGAAACUGGGAUAGAAAAAAACAAAAAAACAUGGCCGACUUUGAAACAAAACGAUCUUUUUUUUUCCUAUUUAAUGAGCCCUUGAACUUUUUUCAUCAUUAAGAAUUCAAUGUCAUGACUGGAUAGGAAAUAAAUCGAUAAUACAAGAAAACGAGUUUUAAAGAAAACGAAAAUUGUCGUCUAAACAGGAAAAAAAAAAAGAACGUGGAACUUUGAAAAAGACGAAAAUAGCUCACGAUGGGGGGUUUCAAAUUUCAAAGUCCCCCCCACCCCCUAACAUGCCACAUGGUCUGUCUGUGUAUAAGCCCAGCAUUUUUCGUUAAAAAAGAAAAAAACUCUUUGUGUUCUUUCUCGUUAGACACGCACUUCGUCGUGUCCGUGCACAUUUAUAAGGCCCCGUAUAAAUGACCUCCAUCUUAAAUAACCUUUCACCUUCAUUUGCCUAGGUCGAAUUCGGUUAGAAGGUUGUAAAAAAAAACCAAAAAAAAGAAAUCUAUGAUUGCAGGGGUAAUCAUCAAUGUGCGAAAUAAACGUAUCGUUCUCACGGUCAACAGCUGCCGACGAAACAAAGAGAAGGUCCUUAUCUGCCAUCUUGUGUGUGUGUUUGUCACAUGGCAAUUUUUUAUUGUAGUGAUUAUCUCGAAGGCCUAGGAAAAUAUAAUGAUUUCCUGUCGGACGCCAGAGGGCUGUUUUCUGCGCCGUAAGUUUUUAACAUACACACACAAGAGAGCAAAACUCAAGACAUUUCUUUUUAACAAACACAUGCCCUCCAGAAAGUCCAAAAACCCCUGCGGAUACGAAAAAGAAGAACCUUUCCGCUGGGGUAACACUGAAAAUUUGCUUAAAUAUUUGUCUAGCCCGAGGCUGAACGUCCUUUUGCCCUUCAAAAAAGUUUCUGUUUUUCGUUAACUAGAGAGAGAGAGCUGAACCGGUUUUAAAUAAAAAAAAUAAAAUACAUUUUCGAUCCGCAUAAUUCAUGAAACGCAUUUCGGAAUUAACCCCCCACCCCCUUUACACGAGUAAAAAUAAAUUUUAUAUACACACGAAAACGCAUUAAAAAGUGUGACAGGACGGUGUGUGUGUGUGUGUGGCGGCGUUCUAUUGUUGGGGGUGCGCCGGACGUUGCUCAUUUGUUACAUAGUGAAAAACCCAGUUUCCGGCCCCCCUUCCUCCCGUGUCAGCUGCCAUUUUUCAAACAAUGUUUAAAAAAAUAUAUAUAUCAAAAUUUAAAAAAAUAAUAAUAAUAAUAUUCUAUUCCGUGAAGCCG